AAAUACAAUUUUCUGGCCCAACUUGUAAUACUGUAUUUAUCUCUCCAACUUUACCUUCCAGGCCCUUCCCUCUGAAACCCUAAAUUUCAAAACUCUAGAUUGCGCCUUUUCUUUGCUCCUGAAGUUCUGUACACAUACCAGAAGGCUUUAUAUUUUGAUUCUUGAUUUCUGAUCUUUGUACACACACAUAUUUUGUAGUUCUGUAGCUAGGAAAAUGGUGGUUCGGUCACUUCCUUGCAUCAUUUCUUGCGACGAUCCUAUCGCCACCAAUAGCCACGAUAGAGGAGCAGGAAUCGCCGCGGUCGACAAUCACCAUUUAAUGGUUUCUGAUGAUGUCUCAAAGAGGAGGAGCAGCGCUAGAAUUCAGAAGCUGAAGAGCAAAAAGGCUCUUCUCCUUCGCUGCCGAGAAGAGUCUUUGAAUCACCUAGAAGAAGAGAAAGUUCAUCGGAAGAAAUGCAGAACGUACCAAAAAAGAAAUUUGGAUAUGUCAAAUGCGGCUUCUCAAUCUCAGGUGGUUGAAAGCAAUGGUUCUGAUGUCAAAGAAGAGAAAGUUCAUCGGAAGAAAUACAGAACGUACCAAAAAAGAAAGUUGGAUAUGUCAAAUGCGGCUUCUCAAUCUCAGGUGGUUGAAAGCAAUGGUUCUGAUGUCAAUACUCAGGUUCUGGGAUCCAAUGGGACGACUAUAGACGGUGCCAAUGUUGACGGUGGUGCUAUGAUGGAUAUGGUUAUGACAGAGGUUGCAGAGGGUGGGACUGUGGUUGAGAAAAGUGCAUCUGCUAGGGCUACGGAUACUUUAAGGGCUUUUAACAAGCACUACCUUCACUUUAUUCAGGAAGAAGAAAAGAGAUGUGGAAGAGUGGAAGCUGAUAGGAAAACUGCAAAAGGUUCAAAAUCCAAGAAAAGGGUUGCACCUGAAGAUGAUGCUAAGCGGGGUUCCAAGCGACCUGAUCUGAAGGCGAUAACCAAGAUGAGGGAGACCAAUGCUAUACUGUACCCAAAUAAAAGAUUUGGCUCCAUUCCUGGCAUUGAGGUUGGGCAUCAAUUCUUUUCACGGGCCGAGAUGGUUGCUGUAGGUUUGCAUGGCCACUGGCUUAAAGGAAUUGAUUAUAUUGGGCAAUUUUCUGGCAAAAAGGUAAAUAUUAAGAAGGAGUUCAGCAACUACACGCUGCCACUUGCAGUGGCCAUUGUUUUGUCUGGUCAGUACGAGGAUGAUUUGGAUAAUUGUGAAGAUAUUGUGUAUACUGGUCAAGGUGGGAAUAAUUUACUUGGCGACAAGCGUCAAAUGCGAGAUCAAGUAAUGGUGCAAGGUAAUUUGGGACUGAAGAAUUGUAUAGAGCAAGGUGUGCCUGUUAGAGUUGUUCGUGGCCAUAAAUCUGCUACUAGUUACGUUGGCAAAGUUUAUACAUAUGAUGGUUUGUACAAGGUUUCUAAUUUUUGGGCAGAGAAAGGCGUUUCAGGAUUCACUGUUUUUAAGUUUCGACUGCAGCGGCUUGAGGGGCAGCCUCUAUUGACCACUGAUCAGGUUCAAUUUACCCGAGGACGUAUUCCAAACUCCGUUUCAGAAAUACGUGGGUUGGUAUGUGAGGACAUCACUGGGGGCCAAGAGGAUAUUCCCAUCCCGGCUACCAAUUUGGUUGAUGAUCCACCUAUUGCACCCACAGGUUUUACAUAUUGCAAGUUCAUUCAAGUCGCAGAAAGUGUUAAGCUCCCUCAGAAUGCUGCUGGAUGCGGUUGCAAAGAUACUUGUAGAGAUCCAAGGAGUUGUUCUUGUGCUAGGCUUAAUGGCUCAGACUUUCCAUACGUGCAUGUGCAUCGUGAUGGUGGCAGACUAAUUGAACCCAAGGCUGUUGUGUUUGAAUGUGGUCCAAAUUGUGGCUGUGGACCUAGCUGUGUCAACCGGACAUCUCAGAGAGGGCUAAAGUAUCGACUUGAGGUCUUCCGUACUCCAAAGAAAGGGUGGGCUGUUAGAUCUUGGGAUUAUAUACCUGCUGGUGCACCGGUUUGUGAAUACAUUGGAGUUCUCAUGAAGACUGAUGAAAUAGAUACUGCUUUUGAAAAUAAUUAUAUUUUUGACAUUGAUUGCUUACAAACAAUGAAGGGUCUUGAUGGAAGAGAGAGACGAUUCCGAGAUGUAUCUUUACCCACUUCAUACUUGGAUGAUCAUAAAUCUGAUAUUGUUCCGGAGUUCUGCAUCGAUGCAGGUUCCAGAGGGAACAUUGCUAGAUUUAUCAAUCAUAGUUGUCAACCAAAUCUAUUUGUUCAGUGUGUUCUAAGCUCACACCAUGACGUCAAGCUUGCUAGAGUGGUGCUCUUUGCCGCUGACAAUAUACCUCCAUUGAAGGAACUCACUUACGAUUAUGGUUAUGUUCUUGACAGUGUCACGGGCCCUGAUGGCAAGAUAAGGAAAUUGGCAUGCUACUGUGGUGCAUCAGAUUGUCGGAAGCGCUUGUUCUAGGCUAACAAUUAACUGUUUUCUUUAUAUUGACAUUCAUUUCCCCAUGCUCUUUUUGGCAACCAAACCUUUUGGUAUGUUGACGAAGAGAGGGCAAGUUGUCAAUCCUCAAUCUUUCAAUAGAGUGAAAACAUGGUUUUGUUGUAAAACCUCGGUGCUUUAUGGUUUGUGGGUUGCGAAUACUGAAGAUCCCUGAACUUGAGCAGACAACAUGAAUGGAUCGACUGAAGGGUGAUCGUUAGUAGGAUCUAGACUCAUCUGCGAUUUGCGAAUGCAACUGUAUGCAGGAAUCAUAUAUCUCUGUUGUUGUGGUAACUGAGAUAUACAUAUAUAUGUAUGUUACGUAUGUAUCUGUCAACAAACUACACAUUUUUUUGGCAUUCAAUGGUAGGGUUGUUUUAUAA
This is an RNA transcript of Cornus florida, 2856 nucleotides long. It is a transcript of the gene named histone-lysine N-methyltransferase, H3 lysine-9 specific SUVH4-like, with no coding region annotated. NCBI's taxonomy places the organism in Eukaryota, Viridiplantae, Streptophyta, Magnoliopsida, Cornales, Cornaceae. The transcript is spliced from 16 exons. The record is from RefSeq and is a predicted model, not a curated record.